CGGCUAACUGUCAGUGACGAAAAAAGAUUGAAACAAGAACCGAGGCAAACAACAACCGUCGUUCCGGAGGUUCGAAAACGAUAGUGCUUGUUCCGUUGUAUCGGUUGUUCCACAACAGGUGGUACGUAAUUGUUAGUAUACGCAUAUAUUGUGCGGGUAGAGGUCCCGUUCCCUCCGGAUCCGAACAUUUGGGCAUAUCGACCCGAAACCGCCGUAGAGAUUCGAUUCACAAGCAGUCUCCGAAGGCCGCCAUCCGGCACUACUGGUUCCAGCCAAAAAUUGAAAGCUUGCGGUCAGUUUGGUUGGCAGGGCAUGCUGGUAAUGAAUAAAAAGUCCUCCUGCAGUAAAAGGAAAUUUCCCGCUGCUUGUCAUAAAAUACAGACAGUGGAUCAAUAGGAUCUGUCUCCGCUUGAGCCGCAAACUGAAAGUGAUGGACACUACCGACUACGAGAAUGCUAUCGAAUCUGGCAGACCAACAAGGGAAUGGCCAGAAUCAGCAAGUGAAUCUUAACAAAAUGAGUUCAUCGCGAUCUAGCCUCUUGGAAUGUGCUUCUUGCAGGAGGGCAAACUUUACAAGCUAUCCGACUUUGGGCUUACACGAGACGUGUACGAGGACGAUGCCUACGAGAAUAAGAGCGGAGAUCGUGUUCUGGUCAAGUGGAUGGCACUAGAAUCGCUGGCGGAUCUGUGUUACAAAAAGCGAUGUUUGGAUAUUUGUGUGAUAGGAAUUAAUCAACUUAAGCGCUUCGUCCUGUUCUGAUAUCCACUCACUCCACCACAAAAUUUAUUCUGAUUAAACAACCAUCGAUGGAAACUACUGCAUCCGCUGAUAAUGGUGCACCUAAGGCAAACACCAGCGGUAGCGGCUCGUCAUCAUCGGCAAUAGGUCUUGAAUAUGAAGCAAGUUCAACCAGGGGGAAAUAACAAUAAUAACAAAAACAAUAAAUUUCGAAUAAAUAAAGAAAAAUC
Molecule: long non-coding RNA, 969 nt
Organism: Armigeres subalbatus
Lineage: Eukaryota; Metazoa; Arthropoda; Insecta; Diptera; Culicidae
Exons: 3
Source: RefSeq, a predicted model, not a curated record